GAUGAACGCUAGCGGCAGGCCUAACACAUGCAAGUCGAGGGGCAGCGGAUGAAGUGCUUGCACUUCUGCCGGCGACCGGCGCACGGGUGCGUAACGCGUAUGCAACCUACCUUUAACAGGGGGAUAAUCUGGAGAAAUCCGGUCUAAUACCCCAUAAUAUCAUUUAAGGCAUCUUAAUUGGUUAAAAAUUCCGAUGGUUAAAGAUGGGCAUGCGUUGUAUUAGUUAGAUGGUGAGGUAACGGCUCACCAUGACUACGAUACAUAGGGGGACUGAGAGGUUUACCCCCCACACUGGUACUGAGACACGGACCAGACUCCUACGGGAGGCAGCAGUGAGGAAUAUUGGUCAAUGGACGCAAGUCUGAACCAGCCAUGCCGCGUGCAGGAUGACGGCUCUAUGAGUUGUAAACUGCUUUUGUACGAGGGUAACCGCGGGUACGUGUACCCGUCUGAAAGUAUCGUACGAAUAAGGAUCGGCUAACUCCGGGCCAGCCGCCGCCGUAA
This 504-nucleotide ribosomal RNA is filed under the name uncultured bacterium. RNAcentral describes it as "partial 16S ribosomal RNA". It matches the Rfam family "Bacterial small subunit ribosomal RNA", at positions 28 to 523 of the family's 1533-position model. The record is from RNAcentral.